RNAcentral lists this unclassified non-coding RNA (329 nucleotides) under soil metagenome. RNAcentral describes it as "partial contains 5.8S ribosomal RNA, internal transcribed spacer 2, and large subunit ribosomal RNA". The stretch from base 1 to 120 matches the Rfam family "5.8S ribosomal RNA", at positions 35 to 154 of the family's 154-position model. The record is from RNAcentral.
GAUGAAGAACGUAGCGAAAUGCGAUAAGUAAUGUGAAUUGCAGAAUUCAGUGAAUCAUCGAAUCUUUGAACGCACAUUGCGCCCCUUGGUAUUCCGAGGGGCAUGCCUAUUCGAGCGUCAUUAUCACCCCUCAAGCCUAGCUUGGUGUUGAGACCUGCUGUCAAGGCAGUCUCUAAAAUCAGUGGCAGUGCUGUCAGGCUCUAAGCGUAGUAAAUCUAAUCGCUAUAGACACCUGGUGGACACUCGCCAGAACCCCCCCAUUUUUUAAUGAUUGACCUCGGAUUAGGCAGGGAUACCCGCUGAACUUAAGCAUAUCAAUAAGCGGAGGA